RNAcentral lists this ribosomal RNA (133 nucleotides) under Giardia duodenalis. RNAcentral's name for it is "Giardia intestinalis partial small subunit ribosomal RNA". Lineage: Eukaryota; Fornicata; Diplomonadida; Hexamitidae. The record is from RNAcentral.
GCACGUCUUGGCGCCGGGUUGCCAGCGGUGUCCGGCUAGCAGGGACCGCCGCGGGGGGUGCAACCGUUGUCCUGAGCCGUCCGCCGCGUCCCGGGUGAGCGGGCAUGCAUGGCUUCGUCCUUGGGGAGAGCGU